UAAUAAGUGGAGAAAACUCUUCUAAUAAUCAAUUCAAAAGUCAUGUUUUUACUUGAUGACAUAUAAAGACAUUUUUUAUAAUGAUAUUACUUUUAAUAUUUAAAAGCAAAUUUAUUAUAAACCAACAAAGUACAUUCUCAUCAAAAUCUCAAUCAUGGUGGGUCUAUUUAAUUAUUUACUUUUUUUUUAUCUUUUAUUUUUUUUUUAUUUUUUUUUUUUUUAUUUUGUAAAUGAGUGAUGGUGGACUUAUCUACGAUUAAAUUGCUAUUAAAAGCCCAAAAGUAUGUAUUUUCAAUUUUGGUGAGACCAAAAGAAAUACUUUGUAAUAAGUGUGGAGAGAAAAUUCCCUUGUGAAACGAUAAGAAAACAAUAAAAUAAAAAUUUAAAAAGAUGUGGGAAAUGAAGUUGGGAGUAAUAUUAUUAACAAUGGAAGGAAUAAGUGUAAGUACAAAUACAUUAAGCAAAGCAGCCAUGGCUAAAGGAAUGAGCAACUAUAUCUUCACUACUUAUACUCAUGCUAUCUCUCUCUUCUUUCUUGUUCCCUUGGCUUUCUUUUUACACAGAAAAACUCCACCUCCGCCCAUUGGGUGGUCUAUAAUUAUGCGGCUUUUUCUGCUUGGAGUUCUCAAUUGUGGAUGCUCCAUCUUUUUGUUCGUUGGAAUACGAUAUAGCUCACCAACUCUUGCAUCGGCAAUGAAUAAUCUUUCCCCUGCUUUCACAUUCAUCAUAGCCAUUAUUUUGAGGAUGGAGUUGGUAAAUUUUAGUGCACAAAGUAGCGUACUUAAGUCGAUUGGAACAAUAGUCUCAAUCAUUGGAGCAUUCAUAGUGACAUUCUACCAAGGACAAUCAAUCAUAUUUUUCUCUUCACCAAACAAGCUAUCGCUUCACUCUUUAUUUGAAACUCAACCAAAUUGGGCCGUUGGAGCGCUCUUGCUUGCCACUAGCAGCAUUUUUCUCUCACUCACUUAUAUUGCAAAGACUUGGAUUGCAAGAGAUUUCCAUUCAGAGGUGCUAAUAACACUAAUAAGCUGCUUCUUUGAAACAAUAGUGGCAGCAAUCGUUACUUUAAUUGCAGAAAAUGAUGCAAGUGUUUGGACACCAACCAUUAAUAUCGAAAUAAUAUCUAUUCUCUUUGGGGCUUUCGAUGUUGGUAUAGUAAAUACCGUGAAUACUUGGGCAUGCAGAGUUAAGGGAUCAGUAUUUGUGGCUAUGUUUAAGCCACUUCAAAUGAUUAUUGCUGUUAUUUUGGGUGUUUCUUUCCUAGGAGAUGUUCUUCAUGUUGGGAGUGUUAUUGGAGGAAUAAUCAUAGCUUUGGGAUUCUACACCGUGAUGAAGGGGAAGGCCGAAGAAGAAACACACAAGGAAGUUGAUGAGAAUAGAUGGUUAACCAACACUGAAGAGGAGAUUUGUUCUCAUAAAGUUCCUAUGUUGCAGAACAGAAGCAUAGAUGCAUAAAAUUUCACAAGUUUGUCCAAUGAUUGAGUAAUUCAAUUUAAUGUCUACCUCGUGCAUAUAGUUAUAGAUACUGCAUACUUAAAAGUGUUUAACGUAUACCUCGUGCACAUACUAUCUUCACUUCUUAAGCACCUUUUGAAAACCAUUUACCCCAUUUAUACUGCCUUAUGAUCUACACACUUCCUGCUGUCUUGAAGUUACAUCCUUCAUGUUGCCAUGAAAGUGGUUGUGGUUUAUUAGUUCCAUGUGUUUUUUCAUAAGAUUCUUUUUUCCAAUUUUAAGAAAAUUGAAGUCCUUGAAGAAUCAAGAUGAUUGGAAGAAAGAGUCUUGUGAAAAGCCUCAUGGUCCUAAUUAGGUCUACUAAGAAUCCUCACUAUUAUAAACAGGAUAAUACAUAAAAGGAAAAAUAGAGAAAAGAUGAAAUGAGCAAGUUUGUCUGUGUAAAUUCCUUUUUAUUAUUAGUAUAAACUUCUAAAAUUAAUUUUGCAGUUCUGUUGCUUAUUUGUUGCUUAUAUAAACCACUCACUUGUUUAUUUUAACCACGCUCUCUUUGGAUUUCUAUGCCACAUGUCUCGGGUAUAACGAUUUCAAGAAUCUUUUGAAGAAUGUGAUAUACGACGGCUUCACUAUUGAUGAAUUCCAAAGACGGUGGUGUGAAGCAAUGAAGUUGUAUAAUUUAGAAGACAAUGAAUGGCUGCAAGGGUUGUUUGUAGAGAGGCACAUGUGGGUGCCGGCUUAGAUGAAAGAGUACUUUUGGGCUGGGAUGAAAACGACGUAGAGGGUAGAGACCAUUAAUAGGUUCUUUGAUGGAUUUGUUAAUAGGCACACUAAACUCCAUGAAUUUCCUGAAAAAUAUUGCCAAGCCAUGAAGAAGCGGGUGAGUGAUGAGACUCAUGCUGAUGAUAGGGAUUGCAAAUACAUAAGGCGGCUUGUUAGUGGAUUUAAAGUCGAGAGGUAUUUUCAAAAAAAUUUACACUGAUGCGAAAUUUUAGGAAGUCCAAAGAGAAUGUGCUCGGAUGUUGUACGUCAUUCCGAAGGUGGAGGACAUUAUAAGUGCGGAAGCAAUUCAGUACUUGAUUGAAGAUCGAGUUUGGAUUAGGAAAAGUGGCACCACUAAAGUUAAAGUGACUGACCUAAAAAGGUUUUACUCAGUGACAUUCAAUCCUGUUACAAAAGAUAGUAGUUGUGACUGCCGUAAGUUCGAGAAGGAUAUGAUUCUAUGCAGGCACGUCAUAAGAGUGUGGGAUCAGAAUAUGGUCAUAGAUAUUCCCCCAAAAUACGUACUUGCUUGGUGGCGGAAAGAUGUGGUUAGGAGGCACACCCGGGUCAAAGUUGCAUACCAUGAUCCCACACAUUUCAAAGAAUGCAAACGGUGCAACGCCUUGAUCCCUGAUCUUGAAUCUUUGUGUGAUGAAGUGUCUGCAGUAGAUGAUGAUACAGUAGAGGCUGUCCGUGGAGCAAUUUCGAAGCUUCGUGAAAUUGUCAAAGAACGUCGUGCAAAACUGAUGGAGAACUCACUUUUACCAAGUUCUGAAAUUGGUUCUUCAGCAACCAGCCACCACACCAAGUUCAACACCUACUCACCAUGCAUCCGCACCAAUGUCAACUCCUACUGAACUACCAAACACCCAUAAUCCACCAACAACGACACCAAACACUGGUUGUGCAAGACCUAACCCCAAUUCAAUAUCAGUCACGGAUCCACGAGCAACAAUGUUGGUAUUCAAGAUCCAAUAAUUAAAAAGAAGCCUCGAGGCCGACCAAAGGGGUCUCGGAACAAAACCCUAUCUGAGUUAGGGUACAAUACCAGUAAGCUUAUGACAACCAAGGGAUGUGACAGUCAGGGUGAA
This is an RNA transcript of Chenopodium quinoa (quinoa), 3305 nucleotides long. It is a transcript of the gene named WAT1-related protein At3g28050-like, with no coding region annotated. The transcript is spliced from 9 exons. The record is from RefSeq and is a predicted model, not a curated record. Lineage: Eukaryota; Viridiplantae; Streptophyta; Magnoliopsida; Caryophyllales; Amaranthaceae.